GUGAUUUAGGGCUGAUUAGGGGUUCUCUUCCUUCACGGCCAAACCCAGUUUUGGGUUCUUCUCCUUUCUUUGUUCAUUCUUUCUCUCGGACAAAAGUCAAUCCUGAGACUCUUCUUCUCUCACUAGAAGUGGAUUAGGGGAGCACGAGCACCCACCUUCAUCUUCUCUUCACUCAAUUUCUACAUCUUCUUUUGUUCUCGGUUCGUGCCGCAAGCGGAGAAGGCUUCAUUUCUCUUCUCUUUGUUGGUUCUGGGUGGGGGUUUUUGCACGUUGGGGAUGUGAGUUCGGGUGGCUAGGAUGCAAACUCCUUUCUCGCGACACAGUGAGUCUUGCAGCAGCAGCACCUUUGCGAUGGCUCGAUUCUUGACGUAUUUGCGGUGCCAGAGUCCUUGUUUAAUGGCGUCAUUGUGAAGAGCGAACGAGCGUUUCGCGGUGUGGUGGUCUUUGUUCUCCGGUGUUUCUACGGCGAUAAGGCUUGCGUGGGGAUGCAUCGCGGUUUUGAGGAUUCAUACGGAAUUCCGAUGGGAC
RNAcentral lists this small RNA (528 nucleotides) under Vigna angularis var. angularis. RNAcentral's name for it is "Non-protein coding transcript". The record is from RNAcentral. Lineage: Eukaryota; Viridiplantae; Streptophyta; Magnoliopsida; Fabales; Fabaceae.